Molecule: ribosomal RNA, 357 nt
Filed under: uncultured bacterium
Lineage: Bacteria
Description: bacterial SSU rRNA
Rfam family: Bacterial small subunit ribosomal RNA
Source: RNAcentral
AACGAACGCUGGCGGCAGGCCUAACACAUGCAAGUCGAACGCUCCGCAAGGGAGUGGCGCACGGGUGAGUAACACGUGGGAACCUACCUUCUGGUACGGAACAACCAAGGGAAACUUUGGCUAAGACCGUAUACGACCUCCGGGUGAAAGAUUGAUCGCCGGAAGAGGGGCCCGCGUCCGAUUAGGUAGUUGGUGAGGUAACGGCUCACCAAGCCUUCGAUCGGUAGCUGGUCUGAGAGGAUGACCAGCCACACUGGGACUGAGACACGGCCCAGACUCCUACGGAGGCAGCAGUGGGGAAGUAUUGGACAAUGGGCGCAAGCCUGAUCCAGCCAUGCCGCGUGAGUGAUGAAGGCC